This 449-nucleotide ribosomal RNA is filed under the name uncultured bacterium. RNAcentral's name for it is "partial 16S ribosomal RNA". It matches the Rfam family "Bacterial small subunit ribosomal RNA", at positions 29 to 523 of the family's 1533-position model. The record is from RNAcentral.
AACGAACGCUGGCGGCAUGCCUAACACAUGCAAGUCGAACGAGAUCUUCGGGUCUAGUGGCGCACGGGUGCGUAACGCGUGGGAAUCUGCCCUUUGGUUCGGAAUAACAGUUGGAAACGACCGCUAAUACCGGAUGAUGACGAAAGUCCAAAGAUUUAUCGCCAGAGGAUGAGCCCGCGUAGGAUUAGCUAGUUGGUGUGGUAAAGGCGCACCAAGGCGACGAUCCUUAGCUGGUCUGAGAGGAUGAUCAGCCACACUGGGACUGAGACACGGCCCAGACUCCUACGGGAGGCAGCAGUGGGGAAUAUUGGACAAUGGGCGAAAGCCUGAUCUAGCAAUGCCGCGUGAGUGAUGAAGGCCUUAGGGUUGUAAAGCUCUUUCGUCCGGGACGAUAAUGACGGUACCGGAAGAAGAAGCCCCGGCUAACUUCGUGCCAGCCGCCGCAGUAA